AUCGUUCAUCCUCUUCGCACCAAACGGCUCGAGUUGUAAAGAGCCAACGGACAAGAGGACGGAAGUAGGGAGAGAUCCUGAAGGAACGCGCC
Molecule: non-coding RNA, 92 nt
Filed under: Leptolyngbya valderiana
Lineage: Bacteria; Bacillati; Cyanobacteriota; Cyanophyceae; Leptolyngbyales; Leptolyngbyaceae
Description: Glutamine-I sequence
Rfam family: Glutamine riboswitch aptamer (glnA leader)
Source: RNAcentral